CUUUCAUUUGAGAAUUUAAGAAACAAAAGGUAAAGGUCAGAUUUAGAGAGAAAUACUAUGAAAUGAGACUUGUAUAUGUUAAAUGCCUAUAAGGCAUCCUUGAAAAAUUGUCCAGUGGAGGCUUAAGGGGGACUGGGCUAGAGAGAGACAGACAGAUUUAGAAGAUAUGGGUGUGGAUGCUGAAGGUAUGGGUGAGGUCCAGGCAGCAACCUUUCCCGUAGGCUCAGCCCAAGCCCUUGUCUCCUGUAAAGAAAUUUCUGCCCACAGGGAUGCCAGUUCUGCUUAUUUUGCCCAAAUUAUACAACUGUGUAAUUUAGAAUAUGCUAAGUUGGGCUGUAGAUUUAAAAAGAAAAAAAAAAAAAAAGCUUUAUUUGCCCCCAAAAGAUAGCUCCUCAAACAUUUUUUUAUUUCUGAACUUUUUCAUAGAGGCCUUCAGAGAAGCUUUUAUAAGCAGAAAUUUGAUUUCUGCCCUCUGAGAUCUUCCUGCAGCACUAGACAAUGUUUUCACAUAGUAGGUAUUCAGGUUUCAUAGUAGGUGUGCUUAUUCAGCCAUCCAUCAUGGGCUACAGUACCAGCAUUCACAUCAGCAACUGGUAUGGAAGCAAAGGACAUAAUUGAUUUUCAUGGUUUGGUACUAUAGAAAAUUAAGAAAGGUGAAACCUAGCAUGUUAGUCAGGCUUCUCCAGGGAAACAGAACAGAGAGAGAGAAUGUUUGUGUAACACAGAGAUUGGUUGUUUGAUUAAGUUUAAGGAACUGGCUCAUGCAGUUGUGAAGGCUAACAAGUCCACAAUCUGCAGGCUUGGAGUUCCUGUCAUGGUGCAGCAUAAAUGAAUCUGACUAGGAACCAUGAGCUCACGACAACGCCGGAUCGUUAACCCACUGAGCAAGGGCAGGGACCGAACCCGCAAUCUCAUGGUUCCUAGUCGGAUUCGUUAACCACUGCGCCACGACGGGAACUCCGAUCUUCUCAUUUUAAAUUGCACCUUUCCCUUCUCUCAUUUCCCACUGUUCCAAGCAUCUUAUUUCUAAAGGAGGGAGGAGGAGAAAGAGGAAAUAUGAAUGACUAUAAGAAUGAAUAUUUACAGAGCUCCUACCUGAAUUCAAAAUAGGAGAAAUUUUUAAAAUUACCAAAUUUUACUUAAUCCUUCUGGGGUUAUGGCUAUUUCAAGUCAGAGGAAUUUAGUUUUGCUGUCCAUUCCUUUUUAGUUCUGCAUUGUGAAUGACAAUAUUUAUGGACAAAUAAAUGUUGAAACUCUAAAGAAACCACCUCCUCCACUGGGCCGCCCUCCUUACAGCCCCAUAGCAUUUAAGAGUGUUUUCACAGUCAUCCCGUCGGCCAAGUUUGGGUCUUGUGUUAUGCCUCCUUCCAGUUUGUUUGGUUAGUUAGCUAAUGUGUUUUGCAUUCAACCAAGGAAAUUCAAAAUACUGUCUCCAAGAGAGCCAGCUAGGGUAGAAGUGCUGUGCAACUUGAGAGUGGCAUGCUGGCCGAGUUCUCUGGGUGAUGAUUGAGCAAACCACUCGCUAAUUUUAGGCUGAGAAAGGUUGGGGCACAAAUGGAGUUUUCAGUAGAAAAUAACGUCCUGCUAAGACAUUCUAUAACCCUUGGAACUAUCUUGUGGCUCUCUAGCUCUUGGCCAUUUUGAAGGUUCAUAUCCCUACUCAUUAUCAGAUUAAGUGUGGUAAAGACUUUAGUUUUGAAAAUGUAACUCUC
Molecule: long non-coding RNA, 1712 nt
Filed under: Sus scrofa (pig)
Lineage: Eukaryota; Metazoa; Chordata; Mammalia; Artiodactyla; Suidae
Description: lncRNA (ENSSSCG00005022134.1)
Source: RNAcentral